UGCCAGCCGCCGCGGUAAUACGGAGGGUGCAAGCGUUGUCCGGAUUCAUUGGGUUUAAAGGGUGCGCAGGCGGAUUAAUAAGUCAGUGGUGAAAUCCUACAGCUUAACUGUAGAACUGCCAUUGAUACUGUUAGUCUUGAGUAUGUUCGAGGUGGUUGGAAUGAGUGGUGUAGCGGUGAAAUGCAUAGAGACCACUCAGAACACCGAUUGCGAAGGCAGAUCACUAGAACAUAACUGACGCUGAGGCACGAAAGCGUGGGGAGCGAACAGGAUUAGAUA
This 279-nucleotide ribosomal RNA is filed under the name uncultured bacterium. RNAcentral describes it as "partial 16S ribosomal RNA". It matches the Rfam family "Bacterial small subunit ribosomal RNA", at positions 506 to 784 of the family's 1533-position model. The record is from RNAcentral.